Molecule: ribosomal RNA, 398 nt
Filed under: uncultured bacterium
Lineage: Bacteria
Description: partial 16S ribosomal RNA
Rfam family: Bacterial small subunit ribosomal RNA
Source: RNAcentral
AAUAUUGCAUAAUGGAGGGAAGUCUGAUGCAGCAACGCCGCGUGAGCGACAAAGGUUUUCGGCUCGUAAAACUCUGCAAUUGGGGGAGAAUAAAUGACGGUACCCAUUGAGGAAACCCGGGCUACCUAGGUGCCAGCAGCCGCGGUAAUACGUAGGGGGCGAGCGUUGUCCGGAAUUACUGGGCGUAAAGGGUACGUAGGCGGCUAUAUAAGUCAGGUGUGAAAUACCAGUGCUUAACACUGGAAUUGCAUUUGAAACUGUGUAGCUUGAGUGCAGGAGAGGAAAGUGGAAUUCCUAGUGUAGCGGUGAAAUGCGUAGAGAUUAGGAGAAACACCAGUGGCGAAGGCGACUUUCUGGACUGUAACUGACGCUGAGGUACGAAAGCGUGGGUAGCGAAC